UGGGGAAUAUUGGACAAUGGGCGCAAGCCUGAUCCAGCAAUGCCGCGUGAGUGAUGAAGGCCUUAGGGUUGUAAAGCUCUUUCGCCGAUGACGAUGAUGACGGUAAUCGGAGAAGAAGCCCCGGCUAACUUCGUGCCAGCAGCCGCGGUAAUACGAAGGGGGCUAGCGUUGUUCGGAGUUACUGGGCGUAAAGGGCGCGUAGGCGGCCGAUUUAGUCAGGUGUGAAAGCCCAGGGCUCAACUCUGGAAUUGCACUUGAUACUGGUUGGCUUGAGUACGGGAGAGGAUAGUGGAAUUCCCAGUGUAGAGGUGAAAUUCGUAGAUAUUGGGAAGAACACCAGUGGCGAAGGCGGCUAUCUGGACCGUAACUGACGCUGAGGCGCGAAAGCGUGGGGAGCAAACAGGAUUAGAUACCCCCGUAGUCC
This 424-nucleotide ribosomal RNA is filed under the name uncultured bacterium. RNAcentral's name for it is "bacterial SSU rRNA". It matches the Rfam family "Bacterial small subunit ribosomal RNA", at positions 355 to 796 of the family's 1533-position model. The record is from RNAcentral.